RNAcentral lists this ribosomal RNA (427 nucleotides) under uncultured bacterium. RNAcentral's name for it is "partial 16S ribosomal RNA". It matches the Rfam family "Bacterial small subunit ribosomal RNA", at positions 354 to 796 of the family's 1533-position model. The record is from RNAcentral.
GUGGGGAAUAUUGGGCAAUGGGGGAAACCCUGACCCAGCGACGCCACGUGAGGGAAGACGGCCUUCGGGUUGUAGACCUCUUUUGUACGGGAAGAAGGAAGUGACGGUACUGUACGAAUAAGUCCCGGCUAACUACGUGCCAGCAGCCGCGGUAAUACGUAGGGGACGAGCGUUGUCCGGAAUUACUGGGCGUAAAGGGCGCGCAGGCUGUGCUGCAAGUCAGCUGUGAAAUGUCUGGGCUUAACCCGGGCAUGCGGUUGAGACUGCAGUGCUGGAGUGCUGUAGAGGCAAGUGGAAUUCCCAGUGUAGCGGUGAAAUGCGUAGAUAUUGGGAAGAACACCGGUGGCGAAGGCGACUUGCUGGGCAGCAACUGACGCUGAGGCGCGAAAGCCAGGGGAGCAAACGGGAUUAGAUACCCCAGUAGUCC